GAUGAACGCUGGCGGCGUGCCUAAUACAUGCAAGUCGAGCGAACGGACGAGAAGCUUGCUUCUCUGAUGUUAGCGGCGGACGGGUGAGUAACACGUGGAUAACCUACCUAUAAGACUAGGAUAACUUCGGGAAACCGUAGCUAAUACCGGAUAAUAUGUUGAACCGCAUGGUUCAAAAGUGAAAGACGGUCUUGCUGUCACUUAUAGAUGGAUCCGCGCUGCAUUAGCUAGUUGGUAAGGUAACGGCUUACCAAGGCAACGAUGCAUAGCCGACCUGAGAGGCUGAUCGGCCACCCGGGAACUGAGCCACGGUCCAGACUACUAAGGGAGGCAGCAGUAGGGAAUCUUCCGCAAUGGGCGAAAGCCUGACGGAGCAACGCCGAGUGAGUGAUGAAGGUCUUCGGAUCGUAAAGCUCUGUUAUUAGGGAAGAACAUAUGUGUAAGUAACUGUGCACAUCUUGACGGUACCUACUCAGAAAGCCACGGCUAACUACGUG
Molecule: ribosomal RNA, 497 nt
Filed under: uncultured bacterium
Lineage: Bacteria
Description: partial 16S ribosomal RNA
Rfam family: Bacterial small subunit ribosomal RNA
Source: RNAcentral